UUUGUUUUUUCUUGCCUCUAUUAUUUGUGAUUCACCAUGUUCCCCAAUAGUUUCAUCUUCUUUCUGCCUGAUGUUAGAAGUUUGUUCUUUAUGUUGUUCCUUAUCUCCAAUAGUAUCUCCCCCUAGCUUCAUAUCAUUACCCUCUGUGUUUCCUUCUCCUACCCCAGUGUCAUUAUUGUCCUCUAGUGCUCCAAAUUUGUUAGCUAUUGUUACUAUUUAGGUCUAUUAAUCUCUCAAUAUUACUGUUGUUUCUAUCUAUAAUUUUGUUUAACUUAAAUUCAUAACUGGUUGUGUACUGAUAUUUUAAAAAAACAAUAAUUUAUAGAGAGAAACAACAGUAAUAUUGAGGGAAUAAAUAUAACAUUUUGUCUUUCUAAAUGAAUUAUUGAGCAAAGUUGUGUAAAUAUAUGUAACAUGCAUGAAUAUAUAUUCCAAUACCUCUAAUAAUUGUAGACAAGUUCUAGGAUGGACCAAUUCAGACGAAAUUCGAGCGAGGCGAAGUCUAGGGCCAUCCGAGAAUGGAUGAGGCAAAAUGUCAGGCUUGAUUUAUAACCAAGAACCCGUAGGACAUUAUUACAAAAUUGAUUUUGGGUGAGUAAAACUCCUAGAAUCAAACUUGGCAUGAAAGAGAUAUAAGGGAGAAAGGUAUGUUGAAAAAUGGACUUUUUAGGAAUUUUUGAGUCUCUAAAGUUCGUGCAAUCCGCUAUAGCGCGCGGUAGGCCACUAUAAUGGGAGAGUGCAUGCGCUAUGGCGGGGUGACAAUUGCUAUAGCGGGGUAAGUCAGGGUUUUACGCAGAAAAAGUCUCAAAACCUUUUAUUUUAUGCAUUAAUGUUUUUGAGUUUGAGAGGAGAAAAUUACGGCAAUUUCUACCCAAUUUUUCAUCAAAUUCAUCGGUAAAGGUAAGUUCAUUACUCCCCGAUCUUGUAAUUUGAUUCUUAAGCCUUAGAAUCUAGGGUAUUACUCUUGGGGGAAGAUUUUGAUUUGAUUUAGUGGUGGGAAAAAGCCUCGGGUCUGGUAGAAUGAUCAUGAAUUGGCCCGAGUUUAGGAUUUGGGUAUAAGUUGGAUAUAUUUAGGCCAUUUUUGAUUGAUUGUUGUUUUUAUUUAUUGCUUUAGACCAAGAACAAGCCAUGGCACCGAGAAAAGGGAAGGCUCGGAUUCUUUAGAGCAUUGAGGCUUAAUUUGAAAUAGGUAUAUAGUUGUAUGUUUUCAAGUUUAUGGAUGUACACAUGUCUACCACUUUAUAGUAUCACUUGUGUAAUGCAUGUUGGGCAAGACAUAAAAAAACAUAUGAAAUAUCAUCAUGUUGAUAAUCUCAUGCAGUGAACCUUUUUACUUUACUUAUGGUUUUAAGUGUUAUUAUUCAUUGUGAUUGUGAUUGUGAUUGUUUAUGAUUGUUUGUGAUUGCUGGUUGGCUCAGGUACCACACCGAUAUAUGAAUAAUAAUGGUUGGCUCGAUACCAUACCUCGUAAGAAUAUUAAUUCUAGUUGACUCGGGUACCAUGCCCAUACACUAACAGUUUGUGUGUGGGUUCCUUGAGAGGACCAGGUAUGUGUAUUUGUGGUUCCACGAUAGGGUGGGGUUCUUGUAAUUGUAAUCAUGUGGGACAUGUUCUAGGUAUUGGUUAAUUCAUGUUAUUGUGACUGUGAGUCUAUGUGAUUGUGAUUGUUGUUAUAUGUGUUGGCUAAUGUUUACUAUGUUGUGGUUAUUUGUUUACAUUCAUGAUUUGGAACUGACAGAGUGAUCCUACCAGUACACAGUACACUCUGGUUGUGUAUUGAUAUUGCACCUAUUUUUUUUUGUUGAGUACAUAACAUCUUUCAGGGGCUGAUAUGAGACCUCAGUUAAAGGAUGUUUGACUUUGAAUCCAAGGUGAGCUACUCUUCCAGACUGUCAUGGAUUCCUCUACAUCUUCUUGCCUAUCUUUUCAGACACAAACUUUAGAUUAUUAGUUUAUGUUUCCUAGCUUUCAGGGUUGCAUCCUCAUUAUUGACUAAAUAGAGUUUUGCUACUACGAUUUUCAGUUUCUAGAGGGGUGCUUGGCUUUAUUAAGACUUAAGAGCUUGACUUGUUACACGAAUAAUGCAUCGUACGUUCCAUAUAUAAAUUCAUUCUAUCUUUGUCUACCUUGAAUAUAUAAGAUUGUUAUUAAUUUAAGUUU
RNAcentral lists this long non-coding RNA (2160 nucleotides) under Solanum tuberosum (potato). Its description in RNAcentral is "long non-coding RNA (STUB_LNC003405)". Lineage: Eukaryota; Viridiplantae; Streptophyta; Magnoliopsida; Solanales; Solanaceae. The record is from RNAcentral.